This 402-nucleotide ribosomal RNA is filed under the name uncultured bacterium. Its description in RNAcentral is "bacterial SSU rRNA". It matches the Rfam family "Bacterial small subunit ribosomal RNA", at positions 355 to 774 of the family's 1533-position model. The record is from RNAcentral.
UGGGGAAUCUUGCACAAUGGGGGCAACCCUGAUGCAGCGACGCCGCGUGAGCGAUGAAGCCCUUCGGGGCGUAAAGCUCUUUCGACCGGAACGAUAAUGACGGUACCGGGGGAAGAAGCUGCGGCUAACUACGUGCCAGCAGCCGCGGUAAUACGUAGGGGGCAAGCGUUGUCCGGAUUUACGGGGUGUAAAGGGCGCGCAGGCGGGAUAAAAAGUCAGUGGUGAAAUCCUACAGCUUAACUGUAGAACUGCCUUUGAUACUUUUAUUCUUGAGUUCGGGAGAGAGAGACGGAAUUCCAGGUGUAGUGGUGAAAUACGUAGAUAUCUGGAAGAACACCAGUUGCGAAGGCGGUCUCUUGGUCCGACACUGACGCUGAGGCGCGAAAGCGUGGGGAGCAAACA